CGCCUAACACAUGCAAGUCGAGUGGGUUCAGACCCACGGCAGACGGCUGCGUAACACGUUGGUACCUGCCCCGAACUCAGGGAUAUCCCGCCGAAAGGCGGAGUAAUACCGGAUGCCCCCGCAAGGGGAAAGAUUUAUCGGUUCGGGAGGGGCCUGCGGCCUAUCAGCUCGUUGGUAAGGUAACGGCUUACCAAGGCUAUGACGGGUAGCUGAUUUGAGAGAAUGAUCAGCCAGAAUGGAACUGCGACACGGUCCAUACUCCUACGGGAGGCAGCAGUGAGGAAUCUUCCGCAAUGGGCGAAAGCCUGACGGAGCGACACCGCGUGGAGGAUGUUGCCCUUUCCGGGCGUAAACUCC
RNAcentral lists this ribosomal RNA (357 nucleotides) under uncultured organism. Its description in RNAcentral is "bacterial SSU rRNA". It matches the Rfam family "Bacterial small subunit ribosomal RNA", at positions 45 to 433 of the family's 1533-position model. The record is from RNAcentral.